AACUUUUAACAACGCAUCUUUUGGAUUUCGCAUCGAUAAAGAACGCAGCGAAUUGAGAUACGUAAUAUGACAUUGAAUUUUUGAACGCACAUUGCACCUUAAGUUUUUUUCUCAAGGCAUGCAUGGAUGGUCGGUA
This 136-nucleotide ribosomal RNA is filed under the name Metschnikowia bicuspidata var. bicuspidata NRRL YB-4993. RNAcentral's name for it is "5.8S ribosomal RNA". It matches the Rfam family "5.8S ribosomal RNA". Rfam says of the family: 5.8S ribosomal RNA (5.8S rRNA) is a component of the large subunit of the eukaryotic ribosome. Lineage: Eukaryota; Fungi; Ascomycota; Pichiomycetes; Serinales; Metschnikowiaceae. The record is from Rfam by way of RNAcentral.